GCAGCGGCGGCGGAAUGGGGCGGGGAGGGAGCGCGUUGCGCCUGGCGCUGGAGGGGAACAUCGCCGUGGGAAAAUCGACCUUCCUGAGGCUGCUGGGUGCCACCUUCCCCCAGUGGCACUUGGUGACCGAGCCUGUGACCCAAUGGCGCAAGGUGCCAGGCAGCAGCGCGGCCGAGGCAGCUGUGGGCUCCAACAACCUUCUCCAGAUGAUGUACCAGGAGCCAGCACGGUGGUCCUACACCUUCCAGACCUUCUCCUGCAUCAGCAGGAUGAAGAUGAUGCUGGAGCCACCUCCCGAGCAGCUCCCUGGCACCCCCCACCCUGUCAGGGUUUUUGAGCGCUCGGUCUACAGCGACAGGUACGUCUUUGCCAAGAACCUCUCUGAGGCUGGGCACCUGCAGCCCCUGGAGUGGGCCAUCUACCAGGACUGGCACGAGUUCCUGCUGCGCCACCUGGGCACCCACGUUGCCCUCCACGGCUUCCUCUACCUUCGGGCCACACCUCAGCGGUGCCUGGAGCGGCUGCGGCGCAGGGCGAGGAGCGAAGAGGGUGGCGUCCAGCUGGGAUACCUGCAGCAGCUCCAUGCCCAGCACGAGCAGUGGCUGGUGGACAGGACCACAGACCCCUUCUCUCCUUCCUGCCUUCAGGGUCCACUUUGAGGAGGUGAAGCAGGCGCCUGUCCUGGUGCUGGAGGUGGAGAAGGACUUUGAGCACGAUGUGGCCAUGCAGAGGGUCCUCAUGGCACAGGUGGAAGCUUUUGUGAGUUCGCUGCAAGCCAAAGCUUUGCCAUCUGAUCCCAGUCCUCACUGAGCUCUGGCAGCAGCCUCCCAGCCCAGCAGUACCCACCAGUGCCCAGAGGAAAGGGGGCAUCACCUCUGUGAGCUCCAGCCCAAGAUCCUGACAGCAGGGGGCCAAAUCCUGGCCCCCCUUGGCCCCUGUGUUUGGGGCAGGGGCUGGUUGGAAGCGGGGUGCUGAGUUUCGGGGUGCCGUAGUGGGCUCUUCGUGUGUGCUUUGGGGACCACCCCCACCACCCCUUUCCCACCCACAGGGAUUCCCAGCUGGGAACACUGGAGCCACUGGUGAAAUUCCAGGGGAAAAUGUUGCAGUUCUGUUAAUUUAUUGUUUAUUUAAUA
This is an RNA transcript of Dryobates pubescens (Downy woodpecker), 1133 nucleotides long. It is a transcript of the gene named deoxyguanosine kinase, with no coding region annotated. The record is from RefSeq and is a predicted model, not a curated record. Lineage: Eukaryota; Metazoa; Chordata; Aves; Piciformes; Picidae. The transcript has 7 exons.